GACGAACGCUGGCGGCGUGCUUAACACAUGCAAGUCGAACGGAAAGGCCCUGCUUUUGUGGGGUGCUCGAGUGGCGAACGGGUGAGUAACACGUGAGUAACCUGCCCUUGACUUUGGGAUAACUUCAGGAAACUGGGGCUAAUACCGGAUAGGAGCUCCUGCUGCAUGGUGGGGGUUGGAAAGUUUCGGCGGUUGGGGAUGGACUCGCGGCUUAUCAGCUUGUUGGUGGUGUAGUGGCUUACCAAGGCUUUGACGGGUAGCCGGCCUGAGAGGGUGACCGGCCACAUUGGGACUGAGAUACGGCCCAGACUCCUACGGGAGGCAGCAGUGGGGAAUAUUGCACAAUGGGCGGAAGCCUGAUGCAGCAACGCCGCGUGCGGGAUGACGGCCUUCGGGUUGUAAACCGCUUUCGCCUGUGACGAAGCGUGAGUGACGGUAAUGGGUAAAGAAGCACCGGCUAACUACGUGCCAGCAGCCGCGGUGAUACGUAGGGUGCGAGCGUUGUCCGGAUUUAUUGGGCGUAAAGGGCUCGUAGGUGGUUGAUCGCGUCGGAAGUGUAAUCUUGGGGCUUAACCCUGAGCGUGCUUUCGAUACGGGUUGACUUGAGGAAGGUAGGGGAGAAUGGAAUUCCUGGUGGAGCGGUGGAAUGCGCAGAUAUCAGGAGGAACACCAGUGGCGAAGGCGGUUCUCUGGGCCUUUCCUGACGCUGAGGAGCGAAAGCGUGGGGAGCGAACAGGCUUAGAUACCCUGGUAGUCCACGCUGUAAACGGUGGGUACUAGGUGUGGGGUCCAUUCCACGGGUUCCGUGCCGUAGCUAACGCUUUAAGUACCCCGCCUGGGGAGUACGGCCGCAAGGCUAAAACUCAAAGGAAUUGACGGGGCCCCGCACAAGCGGCGGAGCAUGCGGAUUAAUUCGAUGCAACGCGUAGAACCUUACCUGGGUUUGACAUGGAUCGGGAGUGCUCAGAGAUGGGUGUGCCUCUUUUGGGGUCGGUUCACAGGUGGUGCAUGCCUGUCGUCAGCUCGUGUCGUGAGAUGUUGGGUUAAGUCCCGCAACGAGCGCAACCCUUGUUCACUGUUGCCAGCACGUUAUGGUGGGGACUCAGUGGAGACCGCCGGGGUCAACUCGGAGGAAGGUGGGGAUGACGUCAAGUCCUCAUGCCCCUUAUGUCCAGGGCUUCACGCAUGCUACAAUGGCUGGUACAGAGAGUGGCGAGCCUGUGAGGGUGAGCGAAUCUCGGAAAGCCGGUCUCAGUUCGGAUUGGGGUCUGCAACUCGACCUCAUGAAGUCGGAGUCGCUAGUAAUCGCAGAUCAGCAACGCUGCGGUGAAUACGUUCCCGGGGCU
This 1346-nucleotide ribosomal RNA is filed under the name uncultured bacterium. RNAcentral describes it as "bacterial SSU rRNA". It matches the Rfam family "Bacterial small subunit ribosomal RNA", at positions 28 to 1381 of the family's 1533-position model. The record is from RNAcentral.